AUUGAACGCUGGCGGCACGCCUAACACAUGCAAGUCGAACGGCAGCAUGAUGUGUAGCAAUACACAUUGAUGGCGAGUGGCGGACGGGUGAGUAACGCGUAGGGAUCUGUCCUUAAGAGAGGGAUAACCUAGGGAAACUUGGGCUAAUACCACAUAAUCUCCGAGGAGGAAAGGUUGCCUGUAAGGGCAAUCGCUUAAGGGUGAACCUGCGUCGGAUUAGCUAGUUGGUUGGGUAAUUGCUGACCAAGGCUACGACGGGUAACUGGUCUGAGAGGACGAUCAGUCACACUGGGACUGGAACACGGCCCAGACUCCUACGGGAGGCAGCAGUGGGGAAUAUUGGACAAUGGGCGAAAGCCUGACCCAGCAAUACCGCGUGAGUGAUGAAGGCCUUCGGGUUGUAAAGCUCUGUCGGAAGGAACGAAAUAGCCAGCUAACAACUGGUGUUGACGGUACCUUCAAAGGAAGCACCGGCUAACUCUGUGCCAGCAGCCGCCGUAA
RNAcentral lists this ribosomal RNA (501 nucleotides) under uncultured bacterium. Its description in RNAcentral is "partial 16S ribosomal RNA". It matches the Rfam family "Bacterial small subunit ribosomal RNA", at positions 30 to 523 of the family's 1533-position model. The record is from RNAcentral.